GAGAUGUGUUACCUGCGGACGGAGCAGAACGGAAGCAGAGGGACAAAGUAGCGGAUUCCUGACUUCUGGCAAGGGCCCCUUCCUGGGUUUCACGCCGCUGCGUUCUGGUCGAGGCUGGAACGCGCGCCCAGCCCUUUGUGUGGCUGUGGUCCGAGGCUACGGCUCAGAAGCCGAGCGCUGGGAACGGCAGGACUGCCGAGCCUCAAGUAGGGCUGUCGAGCGCGGUGAGAGCGUGCGGGGACCCGGGUGGAGCCGCUCCCUCGGUGGAGCCACGAGGGCCCGACACCUGGGUGGGAGAAGCCGCCUGGCUCCGCGGUGGAAAGGCUCACGUGGCUGAAACCUCGGGGGAUUAGAGUCUGGGACCGGGGCUGACCGGGCAAAGCCGGCGGGCAUUUCUUGUCAGAUUGUGCGUGAGAGCGGCGGGGCCACAGAUUUUAGAGAGCCGGACAGACGGGGUGUAUUGUGGCAAGUUUGCCUGAUCUUCCUGUCUUAGCUUCCUUUGUGCUAUUGGGGCUGACUCCUCAGAUUUGUGAAACAAUGAAUGGGCUUUAGUUGGAGGAGUGCACUCAGGGUUGAGAGACGUCUGCACAGUCCCUCCAGAAAUUUACCCAGUGGAAGGGUGAGGCCAGGCCUGGCCCAUCUCCCAUGCCAGGGGGGUGGGAGUCGGGAGGGACGGGACCUGACCUCCGGCCAAUCAACAGCCAAGUCUUAUUUAGUCUCUUGCCUUCUCAGGGCUCCUGCACCAGGAAAGAACAAUCAGAGGUAAAUGAGUGAGGAGGUGGAUGGAGGUACCCAACACCUGUCAGUCUCCUUAAUCAGCCUGUAUCUAUAUUAAAGACCACUCCCUGCUUUGUGUGAAUGUGCAGCAGCUCCUGCUGCUGUUGUUGAUGAUGUUUUAUGCUUUCUGUAGCCCAGGCUGUCCUAGAACUCCCGGAGAUCCUGUCUCAGCCUUCCUAGUGUUUAGGUAAUCGUCUAGGUCACCACGCAUCUUUAUGCUAUUGUUAAGACUUGUUGAUAAAGGGGUCUUUGCUGAGAAUGGUUAAAGACAGGUCCUGGAAGACACUAGCAUAGAACUGUAUGGACAGGUCCUGGAAGACACUGUUUGGAAUGUUUUUUUUUUUUUUUUUUUUUCCAACGGAAGAAUAAUGAGAGGUGAGACAGACAGAAGGAAGGAAGAAAAUCAACCUCAGAAUGCAGCUUUCCUGGCAACUUUUUUGGGGAUCAGAGCUAGCGAUUCCUUGAAUGCCUUGUUCCUUGCUGGCACUUUCACGUAGC
RNAcentral lists this long non-coding RNA (1275 nucleotides) under Mus musculus (house mouse). RNAcentral's name for it is "long non-coding RNA chr17:37002553-37003828". Lineage: Eukaryota; Metazoa; Chordata; Mammalia; Rodentia; Muridae. The record is from RNAcentral.